CGAAAGCGUGGGGGAGCAAACAGGAUUAGAUACCUGGUAGUCACGCCCUAGACGAUGCGAACUAGGUGUUGGGGAAGGAGACUUCUUUAGUACCGCAGCUAACGCGUGAAGUUCGCCGCCUGGGGAGUACGGUCGCAAGAUUAAAACUCAAAGGAAUUGACGGGGACCCGCACAAGCGGUGGAUGAUGUGGAUUAAUUCGAUGCAACGCGAAAAACCUUACCUACCCUUGACAUGUCAGGAAGUCCGCUGAGAGGUGGAUGUGCCCGAAAGGGAACCUGAACACAGGUGCUGCAUGGCUGUCGUCAGCUCGUGUCGUGAGAUGUUGGGUUAAGUCCCGCAACGAGCGCAACCCUUGUCAUUAGUUGCUACAUUCAGUUGGGCACUCUAGUGAGACUGCCGGUGACAAACCGGAGGAAGGUGGGGAUGACGUCAAGUCCUCAUGGCCCUUAUGGGUAGGGCCUCACACGUCAUACAAUGGCGCAUACAGAGGGUUGCCAACCCGCGAGGGGGAGCCAAUCCCAGAAAGUGCGUCGUAGUCCGGAUCGGAGUCUGCAACUCGACUCCGUGAAGUCGGAAUCGCUAGUAAUCGCGGAUCAGCAUGUCGCGGUGAAUACGUUCCCGGGUCUUGUACACACCGCCCGUCACACCAUGGGAGCGGGUUUCACCAGAAGUAGCUAGCCUAACCGCAAGGAGGGCGGUUACCACGGUGAGAUUCGUGACUGGGGUGAAGUCGUAACAAGGUAGCCGUA
Molecule: ribosomal RNA, 750 nt
Filed under: uncultured bacterium
Lineage: Bacteria
Description: bacterial SSU rRNA
Rfam family: Bacterial small subunit ribosomal RNA
Source: RNAcentral